GUUUGAUCCUGGCUCAGGACAAACGCUGACGGCGUGCCUAAUGAUUGACCUUCAAGUGGAAAGGGGUAGCAAUAUCCCGAGGAAACCGGCGCACGGGUGAGUAACGCCUAUGCGAUCUUCCUUUACGACGAGGACAACGCCUAGAAAUCGGGGCUAAUACCGGAUGAUGCUACGUCGCCGCAUGGUGAUUGUUGUUAAAGGGCUUAAAGGGUGCCUAUUGAUGAGCCUGCGUCCCAUUAGGUAGUUGGUGGGGUAACAGCCCACCAAGCUAACGAUGGGUAGCUGGUCUGAUUUUAUGAUCGGCCACACUGGAACUGAAACACGGUCCAGACUCCUAUGGAGGCCUCGUGAGGAAUAUUGCGCAAUGGCCGAAAGGCUGACCCAACGACGCCCCGUGGUGCAUGAACUCCGAUAGGAUGUAAACCUCUUUUGAAGGGAUGAACACCACGCUAUAUGCGUUGGAUGACCGUACCCUGCGAAUAAAGAUCUGGCUAACUACGUGCCAGCAGCCGCGGYAAYACGUACCGAUCCGAGCGUUGUCCGKAUUUACUGGGUGUAAAGGGCGUGUWAGUGGGCUUYUAAKUCGGUGKAGARAUCUCGMAKUCUCARCUGKRAAACUGMRMKKCGAUACAUAKCAGGUCUUGAGUGCRGAGAGGRAAGUGSAUUCAUGGUGUAGCGSUGAMRUGWGKMGAUAWMRUKAAGAACASCAGWAGSGAAGGCGGCUYCCUGGUCCKMAMCYKACACUGAGGCGCGAAAGCGUGGGUAGCAAACAGGAUUAGAUACCCUGGUAGUCCACGCCCUAAACGAUAGCUACUCGGGUAUGGGGUAUGAGSUUCAGUGCCAAAGAUAAUGCAUYAAGUACUGCUCCUGGUGAGKASKAUCGCAAGAUUGAAACUCAUCGGAAUWGUCGGGGGCCCGCACAACCAGUGGAGCAUCUGGUUCAUUUCUUCGCAACGAGAAGAACAUUAUCCGGGUUGUAAAAGCCGCUGCCAAUCGAUGAAAGUCGGUAUUUCUCCAAGGGGCGCCGGUACAGGUGCUGCAUGGCUGUCGUCAGCUCGUGCCGUGAGGUGUUGGGUUAAGUCCCGCAACGAGCGCAACCCUUGCAUUUAGUUGCCAUCAGGUCAAGCUGGGCACUCUAAGUGGACUGCCUACGCAAGUAGUGAGGAAGGUGGGGAUGACGUCAAGUCCUCAUGGCCCUUACAUCCGGGGCAACACACGUGCUACAAUGGCCGGUACAGAGGGCAGCAAAGCCGUGAGGCGGAGCCAAUCUCAAAAAAGCGGUCUCAGUUCGGAUUGGAGUCUGCAACUCGACUCCAUGAAGCUGGAAUUGCUAGUAAUCGCGCAUCAGCACGGCGCGGUGAAUACGUUCCCGGGCCUUGUACACACCGCCCGUCAAGCCAUGGAAGCUGGGAGUACCUGAAGCCGCUGCGCCAACCCGCAAGGGAGGCAGGCGUCUAAGGUAAGACCAGUGACUGGGGUUAAGUCGUAACAAGGUAGCCG
This 1500-nucleotide ribosomal RNA is filed under the name uncultured bacterium. Its description in RNAcentral is "partial 16S ribosomal RNA". It matches the Rfam family "Bacterial small subunit ribosomal RNA". The record is from RNAcentral.